Molecule: ribosomal RNA, 451 nt
Filed under: uncultured bacterium
Lineage: Bacteria
Description: bacterial SSU rRNA
Rfam family: Bacterial small subunit ribosomal RNA
Source: RNAcentral
UGCAAGUCGAACGGAACAUUAUGAGUAGCAAUACAAGUAAUGUUUAGUGGCGAACGGGUGCGUAACACGUGGAUACAUUCCGGGAAGCGGGGGAUAGCCCAGGGAAACUUGGAUUAAUACCGCAUGUGAUCGAGAGAUCAAAGACGGGGACCGCAAGGCCUGUCACUUCCCGAUUGGUCCGCGGCCUAUCAGCUAGUUGGCGGGGUAAAAGCCACCAAGGCGACGACGGGUAGCUGGUCUGAGAGGACGACCAGCCACACUGGAACUGAGACACGGUCCAGACACCUACGGGUGGCAGCAGUCGAGAAUCUUUCACAAUGGGGGCAACCCUGAUGGAGCGACGCCGCGUGGAGGAUAAGGUCUUCGGAUUGUAAACUCCUGUCAUGUGUGAACAAGGUUGCGGGGCUAAUACCUUUGCAAAUUGAUGGUAACACAAGAGGAAGAGACGGCU